GAACAAACAACAAAUGACAAAACUCGAACGUCAAACAGCAAAUGUCGAAUAGCAAAUGUCAAUUAGCAAAUGUCAAAUUCUUUUAAGGUUAACGAAGAUAUUCGAAAACUUUGAUAAUCUAUUAAUGUACCUUGUAUGAAAGAUGAAAGAAUUAAUAAACACUUUAAAGAAGAGGAUGAGUGGCAUAAGUUACUUAGAAGAUCCGAAUCUAAAAACACCUUUUGAAAAUAAAAGAAAACAGAAUACCCACAAAGAAUACUCAAAAGAGGUCGGUUCAGGAGACGAAGAGGAA
Long non-coding RNA from Teleopsis dalmanni, 292 nucleotides. RefSeq lists it as uncharacterized. The record is from RefSeq and is a predicted model, not a curated record. The transcript has 3 exons. NCBI's taxonomy places the organism in Eukaryota, Metazoa, Arthropoda, Insecta, Diptera, Diopsidae.